UUGACCUCGGAUCAGGUAGGGAUACCCGCUGAACUUAAGCAUAUCAAUAAGCG
RNAcentral lists this ribosomal RNA (53 nucleotides) under Aspergillus niger. RNAcentral describes it as "partial 28S ribosomal RNA". RNAcentral also lists the same sequence under 27 other names. The record is from RNAcentral. Lineage: Eukaryota; Fungi; Ascomycota; Eurotiomycetes; Eurotiales; Aspergillaceae.